UUGAAGCCAAACUAUAGGGAAAUUUAACAUUUCGUAACACCCAAGCAUCAUAAAACUGAAAUUUUGCAGAAAUUUUACGGAAAUUCACAAUGGGCCAUUAUAGGGUUUAGUUUAUCGGCCAUUAUAAAUAUCCAUAACAUCGUGAAGCUUAUACAAUACUCAUCAAUUCCAAAAAAAAAAAAAAUAUCUGUGUUAGUUAUCUCUUAGAAACAAGCUUUUCUACUAUUCAUCUCUCUCAUUUCAAACUUGAAAUUUAUAAGUUAUUGCUGAAUUGCACCAUGAGUUCUAAACAGCCAAGCACUCAGCAGGUUCUUUACCCAACUACAAGGCCAUCAUCGUCAUCAACUGCAACUGCCCCUAAACCCUCGGGAACUAAACCUCCAACCAUGGACAAGAUCUUCGGAAUUAGAAAAUAUCAGAUUUAAUUGCACUUUUGUUCUUCCAUUGACCACGAUUGUGCGGUUUUAAACCCCCAUAACAUCUAUAUAUUUUGGCGUCUAUAUAAGUGGGGAGUUAAAGUUCCACAAUCACACAUACUUUGGAGGAUUAAAAUUGCAACUAUCACAUAAUAUUUUUACAAGUUUGUUCAAUAGUAUCGUCAAGGAAAGUCUGUUUAGUCUAUGUUUUUAUUAAUUACAGCAUAUAUCUAUGUAACUUCCAUUAUUCAUUGAUUUUAAUUUGUUUCUGAAAUAUAUAUUCUUUUGUAUUUGAAGUUAUAAGAAGGUUUAUAGUCUAUUUGCUUUGUAAUAUUUUUAUUUCGAAAAAUUUAUGUGAAUUUUACUUAUUAAUAAUAUGGAGAUCGCAGACUCAAUCACAUCAGCUAUGCAUUCUCAUUUAGUGAGAGAUAAAUUCAGAAAAGAAUCAUCACAAAACCCUUAGAGAUGGAUAGAUCAAAUUUAAGGCCCUUUUGUACAAGAAAAGAAAAGUGCUUGUUUAUGACUUUUUGUAAAAAAAAAGAAAUAAUUUUAGUUUAGGAUUUUUUUUUUUUUAAAAAGUAAUCAAAAAAACAUCUAUCUUGACUCUAAAAUGAAACGCUAUUUGGAUUAGUUUUUUCAAACUCGGUUUUCAAUAAUAACUUCAGAAAUUUUAGGAUUUUUUUUUUUUGAACUGAAUGAAAUCAAUACAAAAAUGUUUAGAUUCAAAAUCGAAUGAAAUCGAUACAAAACGAUCCUUAAACCAUGGAAGACUCCUCUUAAUGACUUAUUAUUUGUCUUCAAACACGAAUAAAAGAACUCAAAACAUAGCCUAAAAUAUCAUCUUAUACUUCAUCAUCAAUAUCGUUGGACUCUGGUUUCCAUACAUCCAAGUGGUUCUUUCUCUUUUAAUUUUCAUCUAGGGUUAAUGUUCGAUUAUUGUAAGUUCAAUUUAAUAUUAGUCUUUUGAAUAUCCACAAGUUUUUUCUGUUAUAUACCUUAUGGAAAAAUUGGAAAUUACACCAACUCGUAACAUGUAAUAAUGUAGUAAGAUAUCAUCUUUAUAGUGAUUGUCGUAACAUAAUUUAUUAAAGUAAAAAUAGUAAAAGAGAUUAAUGGUAACAAGUUUAUUAAUUGUCCUACACAAUGGAAGAUUAAGUUGUUUGAUUCAAAUGUUUAAGGGAGAUUAAGAUUUCCUUGAAUCCCUUCGUCUACCUUCUUUCUUGGAAUUAACUUGGUUUUUUAUUAGCUUAUCACCUGCCUCUAUUUAAGAGAGUAGGACUUAGUCUUGUGAUGUAACGGCGGGAAGUUCAAGUAUUUGUGCUGCGACAAAGACUAUACUUGCGACGUUCCCCUAAAGAUGAAUCUAGCUUUAACAAUCAUAGUUAUAUUUAAUUUAAAAUAUGCAAUUUACUACUGUUCUUUUUUCGGUUUUGGUAGGAUCGUAAAGCUUAUACCUUACCUUAGAGAUCAGGUUAACCACUAGUUGCAAAUCAUUGAGAGUUAAAUAUAUACAAAUUGAUGAAGACAAUUGAAUCAUAAAUUCAAUAAAAACUUUAUUAGUUGAAUCCAUCAAAUAAAUAGAGGUUCAUCGUGGAUCCCAAUCAAGAGUGGUUUAGCUACCCAUGGUAACUGACAUCAUUAUCAAAUAAUAUAAAAAUAUAACCUAGAGAGAACAAGAGGAGGAGAAAACCCUAUGCCUUGAAAGUUUGAUUCUUGACCAUUGUCUUGUACCCCUAGGUUUCUAAAUGAAUAAAGUGUGUGCAAGGGUCUCGAUUUAUAGUUCAUCAUUACUUAGGGUUUAAGAGAUGAAAACUAUGCUUUUUCCUCUAAUCCAGCUUGGAAAACAAACAAAAUCAGCAUUUCCCCCUCAAUUGUGAGUAGGGGCACAUGGAUAGACACAUAGGUGCACAUGAAGCAGCCUUCUGGUCUGUCCCAUUCGGAUGGACGCAUGGAUCAUGUGCGUGAGUGCGCGAGGCAUAAGCCACAAUGCAAAUUUUGCAGUUUUUGUCCCUUUUUUUAGUGUUUUUUUCGACUUGAAAUGUAUAGGAACUUGGGCUGAAUUUUGUUCAUAUCCUUUGUCUUUAGAAAACUUUUAAGAACCAUUUAUCUUUAUUCUUCAUAUCCUUGAUCCUUCAUGUGAUGUCUUGUUUUGCUAAUUUACACGAUUUCUCACUAAAAAAACUCAAAACACCUUGCAUGAUUUAGGAUAAAAAUGAAUACAACGACUCAAAAGAAAACAAUACAAAAUGAUCCUUAAAGCAUAGACAACUCCUUUAAAUGACCUAUUAUUUGUCUUCAAACACAAAGGAAAUAAUUUGAAACAUAAUAUAAAUACAUAUGAAGCUAUGUCAUCAAUAUCAUUGGACCUAGGUUUAGUAAUAAAGUGUAAGUAGAGUAUCAUAUCCAUCGAGAUUGUCAUUCCAACUAGGCAAUUCAUGUUACUUAUUUGGAAACUAUUAAAUAAAAAAAAAAAUAUAUAAAGGGUAAAAGGGUUUUGCAGUUUGAUCUGUUUGCAACAAAGCAAGGUUUACUUGUUUAGAUUGGAGAAUGUUAGUGGCAGUUAGGAUUACUUGCAAUUUGAAUCGCCUCUAAUUAUUUUUUGGAAUACUUAAUCGUAAAAUCUUAUUCAACCUUUAGCUUUUUCUAUCGAAGUGAUGAGUUCGUGGGGUUUUACUACCUACUAGAUGUCAACUUGCACCUGCUGAUCACACAGGUAGGUACGUGUGGUUCUUACUCUCUCAAUGGUAUGAGUUCAUUACCCUCUAGCCUCCGAAGAUAGAAACUCCUCCGAAGGUCUAGAUAAAAACAUACCCUGUCAUCUAGGGCUUACGGUUUAGGUAUAUGAUUUAGAGUUCAGGGUAUAAGGUUUAGAGUUUAAAGUUUAAAGUUUUGUUAUAAUAUGUCAUCUAGGGUUAGGGUUUAGGGUUUUAUGGUUUCGUUAUUAUGUCAUCUAAGGUCAAGGUAGAAUGUUUAUGGUUCAUGGUUUAGGGUUAAGGGUUUAUGGAUAGGAUAUCAUCUAGGGUUGGGUUUAGAGUUUAGGGUUGAGGGUUUAAGAUUGUAGGGUUAGAGUUUAGGCUUUUAGGGUUUAGGGAGACUCAUGCAAGUUGAAUUUUUGGCACCCCUUCAUUGAUCGUAUUAAAGUAGGAUGUUGGGAUGGAUGCAUCAUAACAUAUCCAUGGGGGUUGGUUUGCUUCACCUGAAGUAUGUCUUGUCCUCUCUAUCAGUCUAGCUACUUUCUUUUUUUCUUCAAGAUUGCCACAUAUAUCAUUUCCUCUCUUGAAUCUAUUUUUAAUUUUUUUCCUUAGUAUUUUCGAAAAACUACUUUUAUUAAAUGUGAAAUUAUAUGCUUGAAUAAGGAUAAUGGUGGAUUGUGGGUGAAGAGGAUAAGAAAUUUUAAUUUGGUAAAUUAUGUUGGAGGGCUUGCGAUUAACGUGAAAACUUGUGGUAUAAGUUGCUAGUUUAUUUCCCGUUAUGGUGAGGAGAAGGGGGCAGUUAUGUUAUCAAGUGGGAGUAGGUUCACUUUGGUGGAAAAAGUACAAUAUGAUUCGAUAAUUAAGGUGAUAUAUUGGGGGUGGGGACUUGGUUUAAGGAUAACAUAGGGCGUUAAGUGGGUGAUGGAUCCUCAAUGUUGUUCUUGAGGGAUCCUUGGUUGGAAGGAGGUCCGUUAAAUGUGAAGUUUAGAAGGUUGUUUAUUUAUAUGAACAAAAAUAGUGAUGCAUGGUUACAGAGAUGUAUUCCUUAUAACUGGGGAGUUGACGGAGAGGCGUGAAAGUUGCGUAGGAUGUUGUUGGUUUGGGAGGAUGAUCAGGUGAGGGAGUGUAGUGAGCUGUUAAAUUCUAUUAUUUUAUAGGAUGGUAAGAGGCUUAGAUUGUUACAGUAAAUACUUCACUUUAGUUGCUUAUGUGGUUUCUGCAAGCAAGCUCAUUUGGCUCUCAUGUGUACGGGUCAUUUGGAAUGAAAUAAACAUGCAUGUUUUUCAACACAAGGAGGAAAAUUUGCAAACUUUAUCCGACAAAAUAAAGCUUAAGUCUUUCUAGAAGUGAAAGCGAGACACGAAACUUUUGUUUUCGACUAUCACAACUGGUGGCUUAAUCCUCUUUAGUGUUUGUCUAUAGUUUCGUAGCUUGCUUCUUUUCCAUUUGCUUUUCGUUUUGUAUUAUAACAUUGAAAACUUUCUUUAAGCCUAGUUCUGGAAGAGCUUGCACCGGAAGGACUUAUUUGGGUGAUUAAUAUAUUCCAUUUUGUCCUCUUAAAAUAAUAAUAAUAAUAAUAAUAAUAAUAAUAGAAUAGCUUUUUUUUAAUGGCAAAAUAUAAUAUUAUUAAUAAAAAAUCAAGUCAAAUGUACAAACGAUUAGGAUUCACAGAAAAACCCCAAGCUCGAAAUCGAAAAAAGAAAAGACAUCACCCCACAAACAUCAAAGAAAAGAUAAGACACCCACACAUAGCUAGCUGCAACAUACAUAGGUUCCUGGAAAAUAUAUAUGAAGGUGUACAAUUUUUUAUAAUCUUUGACGGUUUCUCUCAUUCUUGUAAUUCAACUCAGAAACCAGGUUUUAGUUAUUACGCGGUUAUACCUUAUACAUCUAGUUGUUACCCAAGAAAUAUCCUUCACCCCAUCGCACGCUACCUAUAUCUGUUUAUUUUUGAACGGUCCAUAAACCAGAGUUAGUGAUAUCAAAAUAUGAAACAGAAAAUCUUUACCAUUUAUACAUUUGCAAUUUUUCAUAGCUUUUACUUCGAAACUACCUAUAUAGAUAUAGCAAGCUUGAGAACUUUGACUAUUCUCGUUUCAUAAAAUUAUAACCAACCUAAAACUUGUAUUAAUUUGUGAUUAUUCUAGGUUUGGAUACUGUUUUGUUUUUCAGUGGUUGUUUCGUGAAGGAAUUUGUUUUAGGUGGUGCUGUUAGGAGGUUUUGAUUUGUGGUUAUGGUGUACCGUCUAUAUGCGGCAGGCCCGGCCUUGAGAGAGUGCAAGGUGCUCAAUCAAGCCGGGCCUCCAAAAGUUAUGGGCCUCAGAAAAAUUAACUCUAAUACCCACCCCCACUUAAAUAAAAAAUAUAUAUGUUACUUCUUUACACGUUUGAGUUUUUUCUAGACUUUAGUUCACUUAUCCGGACAUAAAUCUGGUACUAUCAAACUACCCCCAAUUUGUAUAAUCACUUAAUCAGUCAAUUUGAAAAGCUAUUUUAUUGAAAGAAUCACAACAAUAAUUUUUUUUUUCACACAAACCAUUCGUUUUCCCCUUUCCCACAACGGACAAGUGACAAAUCCAAACGACGCUGUUAGUAAAUUCUAUCUCUCUUUCACUUAAUUUUUUUGUUUUUCGUUUCAUGUUCAGAAGCUCUUCUUAUUUUGAUUUUUUAAUAAAGCUUAGCUACACAAAAAGAAUUGUGUUUUUAUUUUAUUGAAGACCUAUUUUAAAUAGAGAGCCGAGCCUCCUAUUUCAUAGGGACGGCUCUGAUAUGCGGCACCAUUUGUAUCUUGUUUCGUCCAUAUCAUGCGUCUUGCGGGGAUGACGUUUAAUAUUAUUUGCCGAUAUAAAAAAAGAAAACUAUUAAUUGAAGAAUUUUGUUUAGGUGACAAGACAAUACAAAAGAGGCUUGGAAUCCCUGCAGAUUUGUAGGUUUGUAAACCUCCGCUAACUAGUCAAAUAUAAGCGUGAAGAAAAUUCCAUCCACCACUUUGUGGAGGUUUUGAACGGCUGAAAACUAAAACCGUCGUAUAAUUGUUCAAAAUCUCACAAAUAAUACCAACCUUUAGGAUGAUAGUUCACAGAACCAUUGCAAAGAUGGUUCGCGAAUCUUGCCUUUUAGUAUGCUGAAAGAUAUUCAAAUAAUACAUUAACUGAAUGAUCUAACAAAUAUUAUUGAAUAAAUAUUGAAAUGCACACUUUGAUCAAUACAUUGAGUCUUAUUUAUACACCUAUAGGCUAUAACUAUAACAUAAGCUGGAUUAAUAUCACAAUUCAACUAUUACAAACAAACAGUAAAUCUUUAACAAACAAUACAUUACGUAAAUAUGUUUUGUAAAUAUGUUGCAGUAAACUUUCUUCCAUCUGUAAUUUUCACAAGUAAAAUAUAUCCUGCAAAGUUUAUGAAACGAUCAACGAUGAAUGUCUCGAUGCAAAAUAUAAAGGAUAAAUAAAUAAAUAAAAAGGCACAUUUUAAAUUAUUUGAGAAUCUAUUAAAAAAAAAUUCAAACUAAAAUGUUAUGUUCAGUUGAGUCUUUCAAUUUUUUUCAAUAAAAGUUGAAUUUUUAUUAGGUAAUUUAUCUUAGAAAAAUAAAAAUAAAUUAUAACUGCUUGUUGAACAUAUAAUUACUUUUUAAUUUUUUGUUUAAACCAAUCAAAUUUAGGCCAUUUGUUUAAUAUUAUUUUUUAUCUUUUAGUUAUAUUUAUGUGUAUGUUUUUUUUUAACUAAUAUGUUUAAAAAUAGAUUUUAUCCUAAACACUAUUUUAGAGCCCGUUUGUUAUAGAUUAAAAUAAAAGUGAUUUUGACAUUAAAUAAUUUAGAGAUUAUUUUUUAGAGAUUUUAUGAAAAAUCAGAAUCUAUUUUGAGUUUGUUUACUGUAAUGAAAAUCUACUUUUUUUAAACAAAUAAUUUGGUUUGUUUGGAUACAACUAUAUAAAAGUGAUUUUUUGUUACAAAAUUAGUUCAAUACUUAAAACCAUAUUUUCUCUUUCCUCUAAAAAAAAUGUAUUUUUUGAGAAGUUGCUCUUAACAGCUUCUCAUUCGAAGCGGAUUUUAGAUUUUUUUUAGAUUCAGACUUUUUUAAAAAGUUGUAACUAACGGAUAUAAAACUCUUAAAAGUGAUUAUUUUUUUUUUAAAAAUGAUUUUUUUACUUAAAAAAACUAUAACAAAUGGGCUCUUAAUUAAGUUUUGAAGAAAUGUAAGGAGAAAUGUGAUUUGUUAGUAGAACACGAAUCGAAACUUAUACGUUGCUACUUUCUUCGCAGACUCAUUUUCAAAAAUAAAUUUGUAAGAAUUUUAUGUUCAACCUUUUAUUUAAUGAAAUAACUAAAACAUCCGGAAAAAAGGUAAACUUUACUGCACAAAUGUUAUUAGUCUUGCAUCAUGCAUAAGAAUUAGUUUAUAUUAUUGGAUUAAUAAAUCCUACCAUUGGAUCAAGGAGAUAUAAUGAGAUUUAUUAAUUCAACAAUGAAAAUAUUUGUGUAUGAUGCAAAACUAUUUUACUUUUACACGUUAGACAAAACCUCAAAAUAUAAACAUGAGAGAAAAAUCGAACACAUUUGUAGUGUUUUAUACCUGUUAGCCAUAAGACUAUUUUUUCUUAGGAAGAGGAGGCGAAUAGCCUUUCUGGUUUGAGAGUGGGUUUUUCUUAGGAUCCUUCGGCUUCGUAUUUUCAAGAGGACGAACAGAAUGGCUCAUAUCCAUUUCAAGCACAUUUUCCUGAGCAGCUCUCGAAUUCGUAGCAUGUGCAGGAGGAUGACCAGAGUGGCCCAUAUCACUCUUCAACACAUUUUUUUUUUCCUUACCCAUUUUAGAUGAUAAUGUAUUAUGUUUCUGUCUUUCUUUGGAGAUAUGUGAUUUAUGGCCUGGUAUUUAUAAACCCUUCAUUGUAGUUGAGGUUUGGAAGCCAUAGCUGAGUAAAAAUGAUGUAAAUUAGGGUUAAAUUGCAUUGUUUCCGUUCAUUUAAUCAUAUAUUUAGUUUUUAGUACAAUUUAUUUAGAAAAUGCUUUCGAAAUUAUCAGCUCUAUUCAUAAGGAAUUUCUCUGCUUUGUUUUAAUUUUCUUAUCGAUUACAAGUUAGUCAUUUUGAAAUUUUCAAAUAUUAGAAGUAAGAAAAUAGCAAUAGAUCAUUAGAGAGAUUUUGUAGGUAAGAAGUAUGAAAAAAGAUUGGAAACGAAUAGCCAAUUUCGAUACACUAUCUAUCGAUUUUCAUUUAUUUUUUUAUAUUUUGAUAUGAAAGAGACAAAAAUAUAAAAGAAUGAUGUUUAUAUUCUUUUUUUUUGUUUACAUUCUUUUAUUAUCGAGAUAUGCUAGACUAGUUUGUUGAGAGAGAAAUAAUUUGUUAGUAGAGAUAUAAUAUUGGACUUGAUAUAUUGUAAAUGCAGGUUAGUUGAUAGUUUUUUGGACAUUAAAAUACAAAGGUCAUGGUUUAAACUUAGUAUUUUCUACUUCUCCAUUCUCCAUACUUAUAAUGUGUAAGUCUGGUAACUAGACUAACAUUCAAAUCUCUACCCACUUAGACUAAUUCAAUGUUGUUUUUUAAGAAGUUAUUUCCAAGUUUAAUAGAUAUGCUUUGCCAAUGUAAAUUAAUUUUACAAUAACAUCCAAUUCAGCUAUUUCCCAUUAAAAAAAAAAAAAACAAGAAUCAGCUAUUUCCCAUUAAAAAAAAAAAACAAAAAUCAGCUAUUUGUCCAUGUCAUUUCUUUAAAGUUGGAUGUAGGGGAUGAUUUGGGGGAAUAAAAGGUUUUUAGUUGAAUGACGAUGUACGAUUAUUUUACAAUUGACGGUUUGUAUCUUAUUAUUAAAAAUUGUGGUUAGGCCUACCACAAAACCGGCUUGUGAGUUGAGGAUCUCUUAUAAAUACGUUGUUAAGUCAUCUUUUGCCUGAUAUGGUGUGUUGAAAAGUCUCAUAUCGAACAAAAGAUUGUCUAACAUGUGUUUAUAGGUGGAGCCAAUCAUCACCUCACAAGACAGUUUUGUGGGGUUGUGUUAGACUCAACCAUAAUUUUUAAGAUAGUUUCAGAACCUCUCCAAGGUCAAUUAGAUCAACUGCUAUCAGAUUUUCGCUAUCGGGUCACACAUCAUUUAUGUCCACGAACCAAGCUUAUAAGUAAGGAUAGUCCUCACUUUAUAAACCGGUUGUGUUAGAUCCAACCACAAUUUCUAAAACCUGAUUUCAUUUUAUUUCCAUAAUUUAUUUUUAAAUUUGAGCAAAAUUACACUUUUAAUCCCUUAACGUAAUUUCAGGUACCAGUUUGAUCCUUUAUCUUUUUUUCAUUUCAAUUUGGUCCUUUUUGUCCAUUUUCAUAUGAAUUUUUAAGCUUAAAAUUCAUAAUUUAAUUUUCUUAUGGUCUUUUAAUCUUCAAAUCUAUGAUCCUCGUCUAUGUUUGCAUAAAAAUAUUAGAUUUGAAACUUGAAAAUGUAUAUAAAAAUGGAUAAAAAGGACCAAAUUGAAAUGAAAAAAAGAUAAAUGACUAAACUGUUACCUGAAAUUAAGUUAAGGGACUAAAAGUGUAAUUUUGCAUUAAAUUUACUAGAUAAUCUAUGAAGUUAAUUUCGUUUUUUUGAUUUCAGCGGCGUGUAACAAAAUAUGGUCAAGUUUUUUGACAAAAAAAAAGGGUUAACAAUUUGAAAGUUGGUCAUAAAUUUGCAUAUACAUACCGGUAAAGCGUGUAGAAACCGCGUUGUGAAAUUCAUGUUACGUUCUUCUUUUAUUUUUAAAAACUCAAUUUCAUGUAAUAUACAGAUAACCAACCACCUCAUUUCAAAACAUUGACAGUUUCUCAUUUUAAUUUUUGAAGCCAAACUAUAGGGAAAUUUAACAUUUCGUAACACCCAAGCAUCUUCUGAAAAAUAAUAAAACUUAAAUUUUGCAGAAAUUUUACGGAAAUUCACAAUAGGCAAUGGCUUUCUUCUUUGAAUCGCCUAUAAAUAUCCAUAACAUUGUGAAUCUUAUUCAAUACUCAUCAAUUCCAAAAAAAAGAAGAAUAUUUGUGUUAAUUUUCUCUCAGAAACAAGCUUUUUUACUAUUCAUCUCUCAUUCCAAACUUGAAAUUUAGAAGUUAUUGCUGAAUUGCACCAUGAGUUCUAAACAGCCAAGCAUUCAGCAGGUUCUUUACCCAACUACAAGGCCAUCUUCGUCAUCAACAGCAACUGCCCCUAAACCCUCGGGGACUAAACGUCCAACCAUGGACAAGAUCUUUGGAAUUAGAAAUUAGAAAAUAUCAGAUUUAAUUGCACUUUUGAUCUUUCAAUGAUCGUGAUUGUGCGAUUUUAACCCCCCGUAAUAUUUAGAGAUUUUGGCAUCUAUAUAUAUAAGUGGGGAGUUAAAGUUCCACAAUCACAAUACUUUGGAGGAUUAAAAUUGCAACUAUCACAUGAUAUCUUUACAAGUUUGUUUAAUAGUAUCGUCAAAUAAAGAAAGUCUGUGUAGUCCAAGUUUUUACUAAUUACAGCAUGUAUCUAUGUAACUUCCAUUAUUCAUUGAUUUCAAUUUAUUUAUGAAAUAUAUAUUCUUUUGUAUUUGAAGUUAUAAGAAAGGUUAUAGUCUAUAAUUGCUUUGUAAUAUAUUUAUUUUUAUUUCGUAAAAUUUAUGUCAGUUUUACUUAUUAAUAAUGAGGAGAAAGCAG
This 10733-nucleotide long non-coding RNA is filed under the name Medicago truncatula (barrel medic). Its description in RNAcentral is "long non-coding RNA (MTRU_LNC008276)". The record is from RNAcentral. Lineage: Eukaryota; Viridiplantae; Streptophyta; Magnoliopsida; Fabales; Fabaceae.